This 259-nucleotide ribosomal RNA is filed under the name Pichia sp. SCC-2006a. RNAcentral's name for it is "partial 26S rRNA". It matches the Rfam family "Eukaryotic large subunit ribosomal RNA", at positions 1 to 256 of the family's 3401-position model. The record is from RNAcentral. Lineage: Eukaryota; Fungi; Ascomycota; Pichiomycetes; Pichiales; Pichiaceae.
GCUCGACCUCAGAUCAGGUAGGAAUACCCGCUGAACUUAAGCAUAUCAAUAAGCGGAGGAAAAGAAACCAACAGGGAUUGCCUCAGUAGCGGCGAGUGAAGCGGCAAGAGCUCAGAUUUGAAAUCGUGUUUCGGCACGAGUUGUAGAGUGUAGGCGGGAGUCUCUGUGGAGCGCGGUGUCCAAGUCCCUUGGAACAGGGUGCUCUGAGAGGGUGAGAGCCCCGUGGGGUGCUGCGCAAGUAUGAGACCAGUGAACCCGU